CUGUAACGUUAAUUGUUGCUUUUUCUUCGUGAGACAAUUCAACAUUUUUAAUUUUUGUUACAAUGAACUAAAACAUAGAGCCUCUAGCAAUUUAUAUUUUUAAUUGUGCUAAAUAUUUGGAUAAACUUAAAUAAAAAAAAGUACUAUACAUUUUAACGCUUUAAAUCCGAGAGUGACUUUCUCGAGCGGAGACGAUGACAGGUCAGGUUUAUUUUCAUCUUUCGAAGAAAACAAAGUUCAGUUCCAUAACAAUGACAUUUAAUGGGAAAGCAAAGGUACAGUGGACAACACAAAGACGACCCGAGUCCACUCGGCAAAGCUGGAAUUCUUCAACGUCUCAAGUCGUAUUGCAAGAAAAUAACGGAACUUCCCCUCUUCUUUCCAUGGGGCGCAUGGCAGUAUAAUCUACUCCAUGAAGGUGGAGAUACACAGGCCCUGGCAUCUAACCAAGGCGUUUGAGACAGAGUUCAACUUUGCCACCUACAUAGACACCAACCAACCACAUCUUCUGAUUUCCAGAUGGGACAGCUACAGUGAUUAUAUCCCUGACCUCGUCAAAGGAGAGUAGGAGGGAGGGAAAUACACACACACACACACACACACACACACACACA
RNAcentral lists this long non-coding RNA (614 nucleotides) under Salmo salar (Atlantic salmon). RNAcentral's name for it is "lncRNA (ENSSSAG00000095062.1)". Lineage: Eukaryota; Metazoa; Chordata; Actinopteri; Salmoniformes; Salmonidae. The record is from RNAcentral.